This 405-nucleotide unclassified non-coding RNA is filed under the name soil metagenome. RNAcentral's name for it is "partial contains 5.8S ribosomal RNA, internal transcribed spacer 2, and large subunit ribosomal RNA". The stretch from base 1 to 121 matches the Rfam family "5.8S ribosomal RNA", at positions 35 to 154 of the family's 154-position model. The record is from RNAcentral.
GAUGAAGAACGUAGCGAAAUGCGAUAAGUAAUGUGAAUUGCAGAAUUCAGUGAAUCAUCGAAUCUUUGAACGCACCUUGCGCCCUUUGGCCAUUCCGAAGGGCAUGCCUGUUUGAGUAUCAUGAACGCCUCAACUCUUUAUGGUUUUCCAUGAUGAGCUUGGACUCUGGGGGUUUUGCUGGCUCACAGUCGGCUCCUCUAAAAUAAAUCAGCUUACCAGUGUUUGGUGGGUAUCAUGGGUGUGAUAACUAUCUACGCUUGUGGUUUUUCCACCAGGUAACCUUCAGCAGUGGAGGUUCGCUGGAGCUCAUAGACGUCUCUCCUCAGUGAGGACAGCCCUUUGAACGUUUGAUCUCAAAUCAGGUAGGACUACCCGCUGAACUUAAGCAUAUCAAUAAGCGGAGGA